Molecule: ribosomal RNA, 443 nt
Filed under: uncultured bacterium
Lineage: Bacteria
Description: partial 16S ribosomal RNA
Rfam family: Bacterial small subunit ribosomal RNA
Source: RNAcentral
CCUACGGGAGGCAGCAGUGGGGAAUAUUGGGCAAUGGGCGCAAGCCUGACCCAGCAACGCCGCGUGAAGGAAGAAGGCUCUCGGGUUGUAAACUUCUUUUCUGAGGGACGAAGCAAGUGACGGUACCUCAGGAAUAAGCCACGGCUAACUACGUGCCAGCAGCCGCGGUAAUACGUAGGUGGCAAGCGUUAUCCGGAUUUACUGGGUGUAAAGGGCGUGUAGGCGGGGAAGCAAGUCAGAUGUGAAAUCUCAGGGCUCAACCCUGGGCCUGCAUUUGAAACUGUUUUUCUUGAGUGCUGGAGAGGCAAUCGGAAUUCCGUGUGUAGCGGUGAAAUGCGUAGAUAUACGGAGGAACACCAGUGGCGAAGGCGGACUGCUGGACAGUAACUGACGCUGAGGCGCGAAAGCGUGGGGAGCAAACAGGAUUAGAUACCCUUGUAGUC